Molecule: long non-coding RNA, 4401 nt
Organism: Eriocheir sinensis (Chinese mitten crab)
Lineage: Eukaryota; Metazoa; Arthropoda; Malacostraca; Decapoda; Varunidae
Exons: 2
Source: RefSeq, a predicted model, not a curated record
CUUGCCUCCUGCUCAGGGUGAUCGUGUCUGUGCUUAUUAGAAAGUAUUUAUUGUUCUUUGAAGUUUAGAUAGAGUUUACGUUGUGUACAUAAGCAGUUCUUAAUCCAGUAUACCACAAUGGAGCUAGAGUAAUAUAUGAUAAAUAUUAUAUAUAUAUAAAUAGCUAUAUAUAAUUAUUUUGUUGUGAAAAAAAAGUUUCAUUUUUCGUGAGUUGUGACUGAGGCACAAGAGAUAUUUUGUACAAUGUUUUAGUAUUUUGGUAGCUAUUUUUAUAUGGAUUGCAUGCAGUAUGUUUCGUCAGCUUUCCCCGAGAGGUCAGGAAGGAGGAGAAAGGUGCAGCGAAAGAAGGGUUCCAGACCAGACCAGACCAGACAGGCAGUGCUCACCCCCAGCCUCCCCACCCUCCAGCACAUUUACUUUGGGUUGGCAGUCGACACCCUCUCCUUCCUCGGCACACAAAUACCAGAGACCAUCCACCUCAUUACCUUUACCUCUAAACGCUUACUCUAGGUUGGCAGUUCAGUCCUUUUCCUUCCUUUCCCAGCACACAAAUACCAGAGACCAUCCCCCCCUCAGCACUGCCUCUAAACACUCACUCUAGGUUCACAGUCCACUCCCUCUCCUUCCUUUCCUCAGCACACAAAUACCAGAGACCAUCCCCCCCUCAGCACUGCCUCUAAACACUCACUCUAGGUUCACAGUCCACUCCCUCUCCUUCCUUUCCUCAGCACACAAAUACCAGAGACCAUCCCCCCCUCAGCACUGCCUCUAAACACUCACUCUAGGUUCACAGUCCACUCCCUCUCCUUCCUUUCCUCAGCACACAAAUACCAGAGACCAUCCCCCUCAGCACUGCCUCUAAACACUCACUCUAGGUUCACAGUCCACUCCCUCUCCUUCCUUUCCUCAGCACACAAAUACCAGAGACCAUCCCCCUCAGCACUGCCUCUAAACACUCACUUUAGUUCACAGUCCACUCCCUCUCCUUCCUUUCUCAGCACACAAAUACCAGAGACCAUCCCCCCCCAGCACUCCCUCUAAACACUCACUUUAGUUCACAGUCCACUCCCUUUCCUUCCUUUCCUCAGCUCACAAAUACCAGAGACCAUCCCCCUCUGCACCACUCCCUCUAAAUGCUUACUCUAGGUUGGCAGCCAGUCCCUCUCCUUCCUUUCCCAGCACAAAUACUUGAGACCAGAACCAUAUAAUAGGAGAGUUCCUUUAAUUGUCUGUAUUCCUCAGUUGUUCUCUGUAUUUCUCUUUUUUUCUGUAUUUCACUCUCCUCUCUCAUGUAUUUGGUAAGGUCUUAUGUUCGCUUUCAUGUAGUCCCUUCUUUGUCUCUUUCUUCUUCAACUUCCUUUUCUUCUUCUUUUUCUUCCUGGUUCUGCAGCUCUAAAAGUAAAGUUUGGGGCAUAGUCCAUAGCUGCCACUGAGGGUUAUUGGGUCCAAGUCCGGUCCCUCGAAGUCCUGCUUAAAAUUUCCUACACUCAGGUUCCCCGGCCUUCUCCAGGUACACAGUCAGUCAAUCAGACGCUGCGUUGAACAUUGACGAGCUGUUGACGGACUUUCGUAUGAAAUAACAUGUGCCUUUUUCACCCUCCUCAGCCUUCUUCCACUCCUCUCCUAUAUCCUUCUCUGCCUCCUUCCUCUCUACUCCUACUCCUGGACCUUUCUCAGCCUUCUUCUACUCCUUUCCUACUCCUACACCUUCUUUAGCCCCCUUCCACUCCCUGUCUUAUUCCUAUUCCACCUUCCUCUGCUUCCUUUCACUCUCCUACUCCUAUACCUUUAUCAGCCUCCUUCCUACUCCUCUACCUUUCCCUGCCUCCUUCCACUACCCUCCUCUUCUUACUCCACCUUUUUCAUCCUCCUUCCACUCUCCUCCUAAUCCAUAUGCAUUGCCGCGUGGAGAGAGAUUACCGAGUCCAGUUUAGAAUAAUGUCACCCUUGUAAACAAACUACCGAGGUCAUUUUUUUCACUGAUUUAUGGAUACUUGGCACAAUCGGUUUAUUUCAUUAUGUGGCGCACCUUUUGAGAGGGCUGUUGUGGUCGUUCUAUCGGGUUCUAAAAAUUCACCUUCUUAACUUGUCUGCCUUUCUGUGACCUCUUUCUGUUUACACUUUUGCAGGAGCAGUGAUGGGCAAGCUUUUUUUAUUCCUUUCCAUGUUUAUUACCCUUGAGUGUUUUCCCUUACUGUAAAUAAAAAUAUAUCACAUCGACUGGAAUACAACAGCGACAAAUGAAGGUAGAAAAAUGACUCCGGCAGUUUGUUUACGAAGGUUACGGUGGGUUAAUUUUCUUGCCUGUAACCGUACGUCUCGGCAGGUGGUCAAGUUAUGAUCAUUACGGUAGCUGGUUUUGGUCCAACAUCUUAUUAGCGUUAGUCCGACGUGUUUGGUUUGGUGUCGUCCUCUCGAGGGGAAAGAAAAGUCUGGUGUCGAAGCGAGGGAACAAGUAUCCUCAAGAACGUGGUGCCCCAGUAUUACCAUUAGUACAUUACCGUUUUCUUGGCAUUUUAAGGAAUACUCUGUUGUUUUCCUUGUACGUAAACUGCACAAAUACCUACGUUGCAUUUCAUAGUCUGUAAGCUCUGUGUUAUUCAGUUGCUUGUAUCUCGUAUUGUCAGAAGGAAGUCGUCUGUAAGGAGAGGAAGGGAUCAAGCUCGUGCAGAUAAUCUCUCACUGUUUGUAUGGUACUAAGUUAAGUGUGUUGUCAUUUCUUAGCCGAAGCAUGUGCCAAAACAAGCUUCCUCAUCUUUUACAGCGCUGAUUUUGUGAAGCUUGGUCAUCGGAAGCUUAGGUCAUGGACAGCUUGUAGCCAUAUUAAAUUUUCUUGUUAGUUUUUCAAAGAGUGAUAAAAGUGUAGAUAUAAUUUUCAGCUGUCCAUUAAGAAGAAAUAUUGGUAAAUUUGUGGAGAUCGGUCAUCGGAAGCAUAGGUCACGGACAGCUUAUGACCAUAUUAAUAGUUUGUGUUAGGUUUUCAAAGAGCGACAAAAGUGUAGAUAUAAUUUUCAGGUGUCCGAUAAGAAGAAAUAUUAGUAAAUUCGAGAAGCUAGGGUCAUGGACAGCUUGUAGCCAUAUUAAUUUUUCAAAGGGCAUAUCAAAGUGUGGAUAUAAUUUUAUGCUGUCCAUUAAGAGGAAAUACUAGUUACUUCAGUGGACAACUUGGUAGCCUUCAUGUGUGUCUUUUCUGUUUCAUAUUUAUCAAAGAGCACUGGAACUCACUGAUACCCUUGGUGGUUUCUAAACUUUAAUGCUCUCCAAGUUGUGAUGUGACUUGUAAGCUUCCAUGCAUAACAAUACUACUCUUUACUGGAAACUCGCAUCAACCGGGAACUAGGAUGUUACGUCUUCGCUGGUAACCUUGCUGACGGCACAGGGACGAACACAGAAGACGAUCGUGUGAUUCGUAAACUUCCGUUCAUAAGUGUAACGUCUCUUUCUACCAAUUCACACAAAGCAGGAAGCACAAAAACUCAAGCACUCAUUUGUUGUAAGGUGAUAACUCAUCAGUUGUCCUUGGUCUUGAUGGCAAUAGAGGAGAGAGAUGCUUUUCAUGAGAUUACUAAUAGCAGGUUAACUUACGCAAGAUACAAAGUGAUUCCUUCUCUCCACAGUUACUUUUGGAAUGGUAACAGAACAGAAUAUAUUUUUUUAAAGGAUGCAACAAGCAGGAUCACAAUGAAGUUAGCAUUCCAUGUAAUCUUUCUGAAAUAGACCAAUUCCAUAUGGCUUUCAUACACAACUAAUUACAGCCUCUUAACAAAAUGGCACCUACUUAUAUACAAGCAAGUUACUCCUAUUAUUGACGUUUCAGAGAUAAUCAUUUAGAAUCAACCCAGAAAUUGGUUACGUCGCCUGGUUUGUUUUGGUGACUGGUUGCGUUUACCGUUUACUAUCACGAAUGUGUCAUGAAAAUUAUUUAUCUGUAUAACACUUGCCUGGUUUUGGUGUAUAAUGAAAAGUGUGAUUGGUAUGCCUGUCUUAAUAAGCAGUUUUAUGACAUGGACUAAGGUCUGUAGGAAGUCUAAAUCACUGAGCCUGCCUUGGGACACCUGUGAGAGGCCGUAAACCAGUGCAGGUGUGAGGUGCCAGGCGACAUAUCACUAACCUCAGAAAUGGUGUGUGUGUGUUUGUAUGAGUAUACGAGUGAAUGUGUGUGUGUGAUAGCAGUGGCCUCCCAUUAGGUUCAUUUUUUGUGUAAGUGCGUAUGUGAUGUGUAUAUUACGUCGUGCAAUAUUGGUAGUCACGCUGAAGAUGUAUAUAGUAUUACAGAGAUUGUUACCAGAGCACAUUUGCCCCUCUGGCUGGACUGUGGUUAGUGGGUGAAGGUGGACAGCAGUGUGGCUGAAGUAAAAUUAUAUAUCUAAAUAAAUGACAAUUCAUGAGAUACAAUUCUCA